ACUAUUGGGGCGCCUUCAGCAGAAAAUGAAGAAUAACAGCCACUCCAAUUUGGCAUUCCAAAGCAUAAAUAAGCCAUGUCAAACGGUGUACAUAAUCAAAAUCAACAAUCUAGAAGGAGAAGUUUAUCAGAGAGGGGAGACCUCAUCGGGCGAGCCAAAAGGCUAAGGCAAAAUGAAGAACAGAGCCAUCCACACACCCUCCCAUUCAAAAAUGGCUCAAUUGAGCAAGGAAAAUAGAGCAACUCGCUAGAUUCUAGCCUCUAUGUGACUAAGCCAAGGAGGAACAAGAUAGCAAGGGUAAGAGAGAACCAAAGUGUUCA
This 320-nucleotide long non-coding RNA is filed under the name Manihot esculenta (cassava). RNAcentral's name for it is "long non-coding RNA (MESC_LNC003057)". Lineage: Eukaryota; Viridiplantae; Streptophyta; Magnoliopsida; Malpighiales; Euphorbiaceae. The record is from RNAcentral.